AGUGAACGCUGGCGGUAGGCCUAACACAUGCAAGUCGAACGGCAGCACAGUAAGAGCUUGCUCUUACGGGUGGCGAGUGGCGGACGGGUGAGGAAUACAUCGGAAUCUACUUUUUCGUGGGGGAUAACGUAGGGAAACUUACGCUAAUACCGCAUACGACCUACGGGUGAAAGCAGGGGAUCUUCGGACCUUGCGCGAUUGAAUGAGCCGAUGUCGGAUUAGCUAGUUGGCGGGGUAAAGGCCCACCAAGGCGACGAUCCGUAGCUGGUCUGAGAGGAUGAUCAGCCACACUGGAACUGAGACACGGUCCAGACUCCUACGGGAGGCGGCAGUGGGGAAUAUUGGACAAUGGGCGCAAGCCCGAUCCAGCCAUACCGCGUGGGUGAAGAAGGCCUUCGGGUUGUAAAGCCCUUUUGUUGGGAAAGAAAAGCAGCAGGUUAAUACCCCGCUGUUCUGACGGUACCCAAAGAAUAAGCACCGGCUAACUUCGUG
This 492-nucleotide ribosomal RNA is filed under the name uncultured bacterium. RNAcentral describes it as "partial 16S ribosomal RNA". It matches the Rfam family "Bacterial small subunit ribosomal RNA", at positions 29 to 507 of the family's 1533-position model. The record is from RNAcentral.